Molecule: long non-coding RNA, 545 nt
Filed under: Rattus norvegicus (Norway rat)
Lineage: Eukaryota; Metazoa; Chordata; Mammalia; Rodentia; Muridae
Description: long non-coding RNA NONRATT009614
Source: RNAcentral
GUCCCUUGAAAGUGGACUGUGUCCAGUCAUUCCCCUAGUUUAGUAACAGAGUUCUCGGUUGUUAUUCAAAGGGUAAAGUAGCCUCAUGUCUAUGACACCUUGUUCCUACCCCUACUCUCCACUACUGUGUCUUACGUCAAUCAAGUUUUGGCUCUACACAUCCCUCAGGAAUGCUCUAAUAUUAAAAGGGAAUUUUUUUUUUUUUUUUUUUUUUGUGCUGGAAGAUAGACUGCUGAGCAGGGAAACGAGCUUUUGUCUAACUGUGGAGAACCAGAGUUAUUACUAACAACAACUCAGUACUGGAAAGGAAAAGUAGAAUGUUUCUCUGUGCAUUGGUAAAGGGUACUUACAGCUUCUAUUUCAGGAAAACUUAAGUGACUUACUUUUCUUUUUCAGAUGUUAUUUUUAAGAAUUAAUGCAAGUUACAAAUUCCACUUGAAAAAACAGUUAUCACACUUAAAUGUAAUAAAUGAUGGAGGACCUCAAAAUGGGUUGGUCACAGCAGACGUAGCUUUUUACACUGGAAAUCUUCAAGCCUUAAAAGG